This 212-nucleotide long non-coding RNA is filed under the name Actinidia chinensis (golden kiwifruit). RNAcentral's name for it is "long non-coding RNA (ACHI_LNC009617)". Lineage: Eukaryota; Viridiplantae; Streptophyta; Magnoliopsida; Ericales; Actinidiaceae. The record is from RNAcentral.
CUAACUCUCUAUGCCUUACAUUUCUCAAGUGAUUAUAGCAGUCUCUAUUAUCAAAGCCAAUAUAUUCGCCACCAAAAAUUGAAGCAACUUUAGAAAUUUAUAAAUUUUCUCUAUGAAAUAUUUCAGUCAAAUCUUUAAUAGCUUUUGGCAUGUGUUGGUUUGACUUCAUUUUCAUCCUCUUAGAUGGAGUCACUAAUUGGUGAUUAUGAGCA